AGACGUGGAAAGUGUACGGGUGUACAUAAUGUUCACAUUGAAAUCAUCGAUGCAAUGCAUCACGAAAGUGAUGUAUGAAGGAUGUAGUGGGUCGCUUACCGGCGACUUGCAAUGAUCGUCGUGCAUAGUCGUGUAAUAUGUG
This 142-nucleotide unclassified non-coding RNA is filed under the name uncultured crenarchaeote. RNAcentral describes it as "partial 16S-23S ribosomal RNA intergenic spacer". The record is from RNAcentral. Lineage: Archaea; Thermoproteati; Thermoproteota.